UUGGAGGCUGCAGUGUCAUGGU
Molecule: microRNA, 22 nt
Filed under: Gallus gallus (chicken)
Lineage: Eukaryota; Metazoa; Chordata; Aves; Galliformes; Phasianidae
Description: gga-miR-3532-3p
Source: miRBase by way of RNAcentral